CCCGCUGAACUUAAGCAUA
RNAcentral lists this ribosomal RNA (19 nucleotides) under Sporothrix sp. HMY-2013. RNAcentral's name for it is "partial 28S ribosomal RNA". The record is from RNAcentral. Lineage: Eukaryota; Fungi; Ascomycota; Sordariomycetes; Ophiostomatales; Ophiostomataceae.